Physeter macrocephalus (sperm whale) is the source of this 3664-nucleotide long non-coding RNA. RefSeq lists it as uncharacterized. NCBI's taxonomy places the organism in Eukaryota, Metazoa, Chordata, Mammalia, Artiodactyla, Physeteridae. The transcript has 3 exons. The record is from RefSeq and is a predicted model, not a curated record.
AUUUGGGACAGGAGCAGCCAGGCCUGUACGGGAUUUCGGCCUCCCUAGAUCCCGGUUCCUCGGGAGCACUGCCUCCCCCUCCCCCCACCUAGUCCUGGGAGGCCACGUGACCUGCGCCCCCAGGAGCCACUAAUCGCCUGGCUCCGUCCCUUCUCCCAAAUAGGGAAGCGACAGGAGCAGAUCGAGUUUCUCGGCCCGUAUUUACAGGUUUCCUGGACGAAGCCAAACCACCUCCUUCCCUCGCUCCCCCAGCGCGCGCACUGGGGAAAGGAGAGAAGGGCCCCCUCCUGCGCCCCACCCCCACCCCUCCAGUCCUCCGAGCCGCGGGUGCGGCCACUUCUUUCUCCCUCCCUCUUUCCUCCCUCCCUCCGCAGCCGCUCCGCCGGCCCCUCUGGGGGCAAAGCAGAGGUUGCCGCAUUCCAAACCCCGGACGGCCCUUUGAGGUCACGUGGCGCGAUGGGGGUGGGGCGGCAGGACGCCCCUGACCUAGGCUGGCGACCUAGAAGCUUUUCAGUGAAGCGGAUCCUGGUGCCUUCUCCCCAGACCUCGUGGAGGCCAGCUUCGUUUGGGGAGUGAUGCAAGGCGGAUUUUUACCCUCCAGCGCCUACUGUGUGCCAGGCCCACGCUGAGCACUCACGCUUCUUACCUCCAGGCCUCCCUGCACCCAGGCAGGGGGCUCACGCCUUUCCCACUGGAAACACUGGCCGGGAGUCACCAAGGCAAAAUGGAUAGGGAGGAACCCAGUGUCUUCCUCCUCCUCGGUUUACUUCGUUGUUUGGAUGAAGCACAUCCUCCAGUAGCUUCCUGAGAAAGAAUGCCUGGGAGAUACAGAGCCAGAGCAGGAUUCAACAUCGUCCUGGAAUCUGAGAAUGGACCACCUGGGGACAAAGAGGUCCAUGGGGCCCUGAGAGAAUGCUCAGAGGCGAGGAGGCGAGCAAGUGUUUUAACCCCAUCCCCCAGCUUUGGACGUGUCAGGACCUGCUGGAGUUACGGAAGUGGCUGGAGUUUAAUCUGAAGGCUGAUGCCUCUGUUUGCUUGUGGGAGCGGCAGAGGUACCUGAAAACACCUACGUGGACAGUUUAUGCAGCUGGAAGGGACCUGUGGCAGAUUUCUAGUAACCGCCUCACAGAAACCCUGAUUCUCAGCUGAACACUGUUAAGAAUUGUGAAGGACUGAGAUUUUAUUCUAUUUACAAGCUAGCAAAUUAGCCCCUGUGGUAGCUGCUGGGGAGCUGAGACUCCUGGGUCAGAGAUGAAGGGCAGUUUAUUACAGCAAUAGCAGUAGAAGAGUAUCAGCCUCAGUUCCCAUAGGGCUUCACAAGGAUGGCCAAGUGAUGAUGUCAGGACACACAGUCAGUUGCAUUUCAGGAGAGGAACCCCGAACUUGGGGAGCCCAAAUCUUUUAUAACGGGAAGUAUGCUUGCCCUUCACUCUAGAGGAGGGCACUAUAUACCUUCUAUGGAUGUUCACUGUAUCCUGGAAAUGAUAAUCUAAAAUGGAGGACAGGGGCUUCCCUGGAGGCGCAGUGGUUGAGAGUCCGCCUACCGAUGCAGGGGACACGGGUUCGUGCCCUGGUCCGGGAAGAUCCCACAUGCCGCGGAGCCGCUGGUCCCGUGAGCCAUGGCCGCUGAGCCUGCGCGUCCGGAGCCUGUGCUCCGCAGCGGGAGAGGCCACAACAGUGAGAGGCCCGCGUACCGCAAAAAUAAAUAAAUAAAUAAAUAAAAAUAAAAUGGAGGACAGUCAGUGCUUCACUUGCAAGAUGUGCAGAAAUGGAAUAGAACCAUGGAGAAUUGUCUGCCAGGAAACACAUGGCCAGAGAAAACAAACAACACAUUUCCCGGCCUCUCUCUUUUUUUUUUAAAUGAGAAGUGUUGGAUAUGGAAGCCUAUAGGUAAAACAGCCCUAAUCUUUAAAAAAAAAUAAAUUUAUUUAUUUAAUUUAUUUAUUUUAGGCUGCAUUGGGUCUUCACUGCUGCACGCGGGCUUUCUCUAGCUGCGGUGAGUGGGGGCUACUGUUUGUUGCAGUGCGCGGGCUUCUCAUUGCGGUGGCUUCUCUUGUUGUGGAGAACGGGCUCUAGGGUGUGUGGGCUUCAGUAGUUGGCACGUGGGCUCAGUAGUUGUGGCUCGUAGGCUCUGUAGUUGUGGUGCACAGGCUUAGUUGCUCCGCAGCAUGUGGGAUCUUCCUGGACCAGGGCUUGAACCUGUGUCCCCUGCAUUGGCAGGUGGAUUCUUAACCACUGCACAAUCAAGGAAGCCCCCAGCCUCUCUUGCAGCUAGGUGUAACCAUCUGACUAAGUUGUGGUCUAUUAAGUGUAAGCUUUUUUGUGGCAGCUUCUGGGGAAUUGCAAAAAAAAAAAAAAAAAAAAAAGGGCUGGCAUAUGCCCUGCGCUUCUGAUGGCUGGAAUGUGGAUAUGAUGUUGGAGUGUGAGCAGCCAUGUUAGGCCAGGAGUGGCAUGUAAGGACUAAGUAUGCCAGAGUAGCAGAUGCAAGGGGCCUAGGUCUCUGAUUUAUCUUUGGACCUCUUUACAUGAGAGAGAGAAACUUCCAUCUUAACUUUUUUUUUUGUAUAUGCAACUGAACUUGAUUCUAACUGAUACAGGGCUAGCACAGAGGAAGACCAAUGGAGGAUUAGACUUGUCAGCGGAGAGAAGGGUUAGGGCACUUCUCCCCCUUCCUUCUGCCUCAGGCUCAUCAGGGACAGGGGGAGGGGAUGGGGAGUCACCUCUGGCUUGUUCACCACCCACCGGUGAUGCCCCAUUCACAAGGGGGCCCAGGCUGGCCACGCGACCCAGCAGCAUCCUUUCGAAGGCAGCAAGCAACAAGCUGGCUCCAUUCACAAACCCUGUCCUCCUUUGAAAACCAAUCAUCGUGCGAAGCGUGACUGGGUGGUGGCCAGCGCUGGCCCAUCUGUCAUGCCCUUUCAGAGAGCCAGGCAUCAGCAGCCGGCCUGGGCCAAUCCAGCCCCUCUCCCUUUGUACCCCAGGGACACGCACUGUAACGAGAUCACAGUGCCUACUGAAUUAUUCAGAGCCGCCCUGAGUGUCAGUGUUAUUAUAAACAUGCAGAUUUCUCCGGGCUCCAAACUUCCAAAUCUCCAGCAGCCAUCUCCCUCCAGGAUUUUUCAUUGGCUGCUUUGUGCCUGUGAUUUCAGAUUCCCCAGGCCUUGAUGGCCUAAUCUGCCUUUGACUAGCUCCUACCUGCCGCCAGGCAUGAAGGCCUUGGUGCCCUUUACGCACCACUUCAGGCCCCAUUCUUUGCUCAACAGCCAGUCCUCACUGGCACCCCAGCAGCCUGCCUCUUCCCUGUCUCCUCCCGGCUUCACCGCCCAGGUUGGUGACAUCAGACUCUCCCAAGUGCCUGCCUGAUGGGGACACGUUAAUAACAGCAUCCUCCACUUCCGUGGGUCUCCGUCUCAUCUGUGUCCUUGUGAGGCUUUAAGCCUCUGGGUCUCCCCUCCCAUCCCCAUGUUCUAGCUCCAACACAAUCUUCCCCUUCCCCACAAGUCCCAGAUUCCCGGUUCUCUCUGGAGUUGGUCUGGAGAAUACCCCCCAGCUGGUAAUGAGGCAGAGAUGGUAAUGCACAUUUAAGAGUAAUGAAAUGCAGUGAUAUUUCAGGCCUGACAGACCUAUUUCUGGCAGCCUUAGAAUUAAAGUGUGAGGCUUUGUA